Long non-coding RNA from Anthonomus grandis grandis, 1099 nucleotides. RefSeq lists it as uncharacterized. The transcript is spliced from 5 exons. NCBI's taxonomy places the organism in Eukaryota, Metazoa, Arthropoda, Insecta, Coleoptera, Curculionidae. The record is from RefSeq and is a predicted model, not a curated record.
CCUGGGUCUACCUCCAGUACUGCACGUACUGGACGUACUGCGAGUACUACUCGUACUGGGACUCCUGUGCAUUUCUGACUUGGAUCUCUGAUUGGUCCUUUUCCGGCUUUUUCUUUGAGUUGCGGACCUAAAAAGUUACCUAUGAGUUUAAAAUACCUGCAAAGCCCAGUUGGACAUGUUUCACCUAAGGCACAAUUUCCUUCACAAAUACUCCUGGACUGUAACAGUUCCUCGUAGUUGUUGAGCAUUAGGGCGCACUGCUCCUGAUCCUUAUAAAUCAGGGCCAAACUAGGGUUAUAUGGGUGUAUUACAUCAAUAAGACGGGUACACUCGAACUCCUCGAGUUGUUUUAGGAACCCCAAGUUGGGAUUGGCCACAUUUCUGCCCGCUCUCACCACUUUAAGGGCGUCUUUCCAGUUUAGGGUUGUCACUGACAUAAUAUAAGCCACAGCCACGGUUACACUUCGGGACAUACCAGCAAGACUAUUAAGAAAUAAUGUGAUAAGUAUUCUAUUAUAUUGUAAAAACUGGUAUUUUAUAGAUUAUUAGGUAAUUUACCAGUGAAUAAGGACGUUUCCAUCACGGAGUCGGGCGGCAUGGAUAAAGUCGUUACACAGCGAGAAGUACUGGGUUAGAUUUUGGUCGGGAGUGUCGGAGGCCAUCACGCACAGACCAUGAUUAUAAAGAACUGACCACUUUUGAUCACAUAGAGCAGCAGCCAACAACAGAAUAUGCUGAUAGGUUGAAAGUUAAAAACUGCACCCAAGUCUUUAAUAAUACUAAAUCUAGAUGGACAAUAUAGCAUAAGUGGGAUAUUGGAGACCAAAAUCAAUUACCUAGUGGAGCUCAAUACGCAGCAACUUUUAUCUUGUUUCUCUAUACACUUUUUGACAGCUUUUAUGUCAAAACUUACCCUAAAGCUGACACCAAACCUGAGAUAACAGCAAUUUUACCAGUUUCAAUGCAUGAGCAAUUUUGCAUUCUAUACAAAUCUUGGAGUCUAUGAAGCUUUCAAAGACAAAUGGAAAAAUGGUAUCUUAAGUAACUUUUUGCAAACUCUUUAUACAAGUUCCUAAUUAAAUAAACUUGUAAGUUUAUA